GGUUAACAGGCAGCUUGAAAGACUUCUUUUUCCCUAACAUGACUUAAAUAGUUAGUUACACAGCAAAAAAAAAAAAAAUAAAAUAAAAUAAAAUCCUGGAGUGGGCACGCUGCUCCUUACCACAACACUCCUCUUCCUGUCCCAGAUGAAGUCUCCUCACCACGCUAAACCAUUGUGGGUCGGAAUUUUAAGGAUUAAUUUCACUUCCAAAGAAAGCCUGUUCGGAUAUUCCAAACACUACAGUAAUUCUGGCCCCUCUGAGGCUUUAGUGGCUGUUCCCUCUGAGCCUCAAGUCUGUCUAGUACAGCUUACAUGCUGCGAGGGUGGAGGUGGGGAGGGGCUCUGAAUGAGCUGACAUUUCCCUGCCAGCCCCAGUAAUAACAAGUCAGUGCUCCCACUAAGAGCCCCAGGAAAGGACAACACACACCACGGGCAGGAACAGAGCCCUGUGGUCUUUUUGACAACGGCAUAAUUCUCAAAGAAAUGGUGCAAACCCUGAAGAAGCGGAAUGCAUCCUCUCAUCAGGUCCGCUUCUCCAACGUCUCCCCCCUGCUGUGCGACGACCAUGAGAAGACACACAGGCCUCUGCAGUGGGCAUCUGGACAGAAUGGGCAUCUGGGGGAUGGUACAGCUCUCCCACCCUCAAGGGCUGUAGUCUGCAACCAUGUUAAAAAGAAAAGCCGAGGAUAUACAAGUUUCCUUCAGAAGAUAUAAAAAGAUCCUUCCUUGGGCAUGGGUUCAUUCUAGAAUUAGCAAGCAGCACGACUGUUUUCUAUCAUGGGGUAUUCAACCAAUUUCUACACAAAUGACUGUUUUUAUCCCCAUGAGAAUUUUGCAGACAAUCCAUGACAUCCGGGAAGCUUUGUCCUGUUAACUGUUUAAUUCCAAAACAUUGCCUUGAGUAAGAAGAUAUUUAUACCCAACAGCAUCUCUCUUAGUUUCCUUAGGCAACUUCUCCUUUUAGAAUCCAAACCCACUCAACAAUAGGCAGAUUAAUGAAUGUUUGUUUGUUUGUUUUUUUGGGUCCCAUUUUAAACCCAGCAUACAACACUCUGGUUUCUCUUCAGAGCAGAUAAAAUCUUUUGCCUUUUAAAGUCACAGAACAUGAUUUUGAGACUUCUCUAAUAUUAAAAGUACUGGCUCCGGUUCGAGUACUGCUUUGGAAAUGGAAGAAUUAAUAGGGAAAAGAAGGAGACAAGGAAAAUAAGACUAGCUUCACUUGUUCAUGAAUUUCUCAUGUGUCCUGAAAAUACAUAUUUCACUAAUCUCCAGUUCUCAGUUUCUUCAAGUAUAAAAAUAACCCCAAGGCUUGAAUUUCUAAACAUUGUGAUCAUUGAUGGAUCCUGCCCUCACUGACAUCCACAUGGAAGAAACAGGGUACCCUAAAUCACCCCAGAAGGAAACAAUCUGGACCCACCUGAUUAGAUCAAAUUUCAAUCUCCUCGGAACUGCUGAUGGUCGACACCUCAUGCCUCCAUUUUUACAUUUUUGUCUAGCCUAAGGAAAGUAUUGUAGAACCUUCUAUGGUUCCUUCUGCAGCUGCAUAGGCCCCAAGCUCUACCCCCCCCCCAUCCUUCUCUUCUCCAACAUGGCAGGUUAGCAGGGAAGGACACAGAGGAGACUCUGGCUCUACCAGUAAUCCUUUAUUUAUUUCAUAUAAAAGAUGAUCUGAGGAAGAUAUUUUAACACAUUAACAUUGGUUAGUCUUGAAGAGUGAGCGCUUGAGUUUUGGAUAUAUCACUUUCAGUACGUGUAUUUUUUUUUAAACUUUCCAAUUGAAAGCACAGCAAGAGAUGUUAAACACUAAGUAUUAAAGCGAGGAAUCUGAGAUUUCCUGAGAAACUUUAACAGACUUAGAAAAAUUUAAAUCAAGUAUUUAUUUUAUUUCUUCUUCUCUUGGAUUUGUUAAUCACACAUUUCUUUUUCAGGAAGAAGGAAUUCAGAAAGCAAACAGUAGUGCUUGCUACUAAGAAGAUAUGAUAUAUAUAUAUAUACAUAUAUAUACACACACAUAUAUACACACAUACAUGUAUAUAUGGAAUAUAUUUAAUAUGUGUGUAUAUAAUAUAAUGUAUAUGUAUGAAUAUAUAUGUAUAUAUCAGGCAUAAUGGGCACAAAACAUUCAUAAUUCCUCAAAUCUUCUGCUGUCAAUCUCUUUGUUGUCAAACCAACUACAAGAUAGAAAUCAUCUAAUCACCAAGAUGAAUAGCGUUCUAUGCAUUAGUACCUGCAUGGCGAGACAACCCCAAGGUGCAGAGAACCCAGUGCUCUGACGUGACACUCACUGCUGAUUACAGGCUGCAGGCAUUCAAGCAAAAUAUGCAAAUAUAUUCAGAUGUCCCCUAGCUUUAUAAGAAAAAAAUUUAAUCGGCACUGAAAGGAGAUUUGGGAAAGAGGCUAAGGCUGGAGUUUCACAAAUUCAAGUCCAGUAUGAACUACAUUAUCAUGACCAUGUCUUCAGAAGGCAAAAGAGAAGGGGAAGAAAGAAUGGACAGAUGGGAAAAAGGAAGGAAAGCUAAGGCAGGCAGGCAGGCAGCAAGGAAGGAGAGAGCUUUAUAGUUUUGUAUACACAGUACUGCCAACCUUUCCUAAAAGGAAAAUAACCAGAGAGCAAGGGACAAACUUGGUGGGUUACAUUCCAAACAGCAGGUAUCUGAUGGAGAGUUAGGUCUAAUGCUAGGGACAGCACAAGAGCAAGAAGUGAUAUCACAGUGUUCUAGUGAGGGGUGGCGACAAAAAACAACAAUGCCUUUUAAUGUGAACAACAAAAAGCAAAUAUAACAGUAAAUCUAGCCUUAAAAAAUGUUACAAAUAGCAAAGUGAAACUAUGAAUGGAUUCAUCAAUGAAUCUUUGCUAUGUAUGAAAACAUACACACAAAAUAGAAGCAGUGGAAUGGGGAUAAAAAAAAAAGUAAUUUUGAAAGAAAUUUGAUACUAUGCUUUGGCAUAAGUAAAAGAUAAUAGAACCUUAUUAUUGUUGCAGAUAGGAAAAGAGAAUAAAAUACUAUAUUCCAGUAAAGAUUAUUUCAGUAACUGUCAUCGCUCCAUUCUUAAAUUUGCAGAAUGUUUUUAAAUAUAAAACUUUGUCUUUAUCCUGGGUAACUAAAAAACCUAUCCUCUUCAAAAGCUGUGAGGCUCAGGCUGAGCUAUUACAUGUGCAAGCCUGAGGGUUCCGUUCUCUGUGUUCCCUAUAAUAAAAAGAAAACCCAAAGUCAGGAAGAUCCCCUCACCACUCCCCAGCCCCAAGGGGCCCUCCAAACCCCUGAGGGAUUCAGUCUUGCUGCUGGGACCUGAAGGAUUCUUUGUUGGUCACAAGCUGUUCCCUACUGAAUUCCGGUCUGCAUCUGGAGGCACUGCCACAUGUGUGGACUCAUGAAGGGUCAUCCACUCAGCCUGAGGAAGGACGCUCCUCACAACCAGGCCAUCUCAGCAGCCACGCUGCAUCCACCUGCUUAGCCGCCUUUGAAGAAUCAUGCCUGAAGCUCACAGCUGGCAUCCAUCAGCCUGCCCAAGUCACUGAGUGCCCCCAGACACAAAGAAAGAGAGACCUACUAUUCUGAGAAGACCUGCAGGUUGCCUGGGCCCCUUUUUGUUUACUGACAUUGGCACCACGUUCUCAUUCAUCCACCAUUUGGUCAACAUUCACGGAGGCUUCCUUAGUGACUCUUUCUUUGGCAAGGAUGGCCGGGCAGGAAUCAUCUGGCCUUGUCACACACUGUGCAUCACACUUCAGGGCAAGUGACUGCAGUUCCUGAGUUUAAGCUGACACACGUUGGAUUCUACUAGAAUCCAUGUCUAGUUCUUUUGUUUUGGUUUGCUCUUCUUUUUUCCUAUGAAGAAUUUCUCUUUUUUCUUUCAGGAUGUAAAAUAAAUCCGGAGAGGAUUUGGGCUGUAGUUGCUGUCUUUGAAACCCCACCAGGAGCUUGUCCUUAGCAUCAUUUUGCCAUGGUCUUAAUCUAUGUUUUUCACUUAACAUAGUCAGCUCUUGGCAGGCACAGGUCCUGCAACCAUGAGUUCAACUCAUCUCUGAUUUUAAAUCCUAGGGAAAUUGCAUCCAUACGUAGCCUGAACAGGCUCUUCUCAUUAUUCCCAAGCAAAUACAGUAUAACCACUAUUUACACAGCACUAAACAUCAUGUUGGGUGACACCUCAAAGUAUAUGAAAGGAUUAGGGUGGUCUACCUCACAUCUGGCAAGCUCUUUACAGAUGGGUAUCCUCGGGCUUUGGAAUCUGGGGGCCCUGAACCCAAUGCUUGCUGCUAAGGAGAAAUGCAUGUCACUGGUGCUGGGUGGAAUUCAAUUUUCCUUCCCAGUCUCAGCAACAACGAAGUAGAUCCACCUGUAAAUUGCUGCCACUUGGUUUUUUAUUGCUUUUAUUUCAAUGGUUAAGAAAUUCUCUCAAUCAGGAACUAGAGAAAGCACCCAAGGAACUAAAGGGAACUGCAACCCUAUAGGUGGAACAACAAUAUGAAC
Molecule: long non-coding RNA, 4472 nt
Filed under: Mus musculus (house mouse)
Lineage: Eukaryota; Metazoa; Chordata; Mammalia; Rodentia; Muridae
Description: predicted gene, 48662
Source: RNAcentral